This 336-nucleotide unclassified non-coding RNA is filed under the name soil metagenome. RNAcentral's name for it is "partial contains 5.8S ribosomal RNA, internal transcribed spacer 2, and large subunit ribosomal RNA". The stretch from base 1 to 120 matches the Rfam family "5.8S ribosomal RNA", at positions 35 to 154 of the family's 154-position model. The record is from RNAcentral.
GAUGAAGAACGUAGCGAAAUGCGAUACGUAAUGUGAAUUGCAGAAUUCAGUGAAUCAUCGAGUCUUUGAACGCACAUUGCGCCCGCCAGUAUUCUGGCGGGCAUGCCUGUUCGAGCGUCAUUUCAACCAUCAAGCCCCCGGCUUGUGUUGGGGACCUGCGGCUGCCGCAGGCCCUGAAAAGCAGUGGCGGGCUCGCUGUCACACCGAGCGUAGUAGCAUACAUCUCGCUCUGGGCGUGCUGCGGGUUCCGGCCGUUAAACCACCUUCAUAACCCAAGGUUGACCUCGGAUCAGGUAGGAAGACCCGCUGAACUUAAGCAUAUCAAUAAGCGGAGGA